RNAcentral lists this ribosomal RNA (1500 nucleotides) under uncultured bacterium. Its description in RNAcentral is "bacterial SSU rRNA". It matches the Rfam family "Bacterial small subunit ribosomal RNA". The record is from RNAcentral.
CCAGAGUUUGAUCCUGGCUCAGGACGAACGUUUGGCGGCGUGCCUAACACAUGCAAGUCGAGCGAAGCUCAUAGACACAGCUUGCUGUAUUUAUGAGACUGAGCGGCGAACGGGUGAGUAACACGUGGGUUAUCUGCCUUAAAGUCAGGGACAACAGCUGGAAACGGCUGCUAAUACCAGAUGAAGUCUUUUACUUAUAGAAGUUUAAGACCAAAGCGUUAUGUAGCGCUUUAAGAUGAGCCCGCGUCCCAUUAGUUAGUUGGUGGGGUAAUGGCCUACCAAGGCGACGAUGGGUAGCCGGUCUGAGAGGAUGGACGGCCACACUGGAACUGAGACACGGUCCAGACUCCUACGGGAGGCAGCAGUGGGGAAUUUUGCGCAAUGGGGGCAACCCUGACGCAGCGACGCCGCGUGAGCGAUGAAUGCCUUCGGGUUGUAAAGCUCUGUUGAGGGGGAAGAUAGUGACGGUACCCCUUAAGAAAGCCCCGGCUAACUACGUGCCAGCAGCCGCGGUAAGACGUAGGGGGCGAGCGUUGUCCGGAAUUACUGGGCGUAAAGGGCGUGUAGGCGGCCGGCAAAGUCAGCUGUGAAACCCCCCGGCUCAACUGGGGGCUUGCAGUUGAAACUUGCCGGCUUGAGUGCAGGAGAGGAGGGUGGAAUUCCCGGUGUAGCGGUGAAAUGCGUAGAUAUCGGGAGGAACACCGGUGGCGAAGGCGGCCUUCUGGCCUGUUACUGACGCUGAGGCGCGAAAGCUAGGGUAGCAAACAGGAUUAGAUACCCUGGUAGUCCUAGCUGUAAACGCUGGGUACUAGGUGUAGGGGGUUUAGACGCCCUCUGUGCCGUAGUUAACGCAUUAAGUACCCCGCCUGGGGAGUACGAUCGCAAGGUUGAAACUCAAAGGAAUUGACGGGGGCCCGCACAAGCGGUGGAGCACGUGGUUUAAUUCGACGCAACGCGAAGAACCUUACCAGGGCUUGACAUCUAUCUGACGCAUAGUAGAGAUAUUAUGCUCUUUUCGGAGCGGAUAGACAGGUGGUGCAUGGUUGUCGUCAGCUCGUGUCGUGAGAUGUUGGGUUAAGUCCCGCAACGAGCGCAACCCUUAUUCUUAGUUGCCAUCAGGUUAAGCUGGGCACUCUAAGGAGACUGCCGGUGACAAACCGGAGGAAGGUGGGGAUGACGUCAAAUCAUCAUGCCCUUUAUGUCCUGGGCUACACACGUGCUACAAUGGCCGGUACAACGGGUUGCGAGACUGUGAAGUUUAGCCAAUCCCUUAAAGCCGGUCUCAGUUCGGAUUGCAGGCUGCAACUCGCCUGCAUGAAGUCGGAAUCGCUAGUAAUCGCGAAUCAGCACGUCGCGGUGAAUACGUUCCCGGGCCUUGUACACACCGCCCGUCACACCACGAAAGCCGGCAACACCCGAAGCCGGUGGGCCAACCUAUUAGGAGGCAGCCGUCUAAGGUGGGGCUGGUGAUUGGGGUGAAGUCGUAACAAGGUAACCGUA